Athalia rosae (coleseed sawfly) is the source of this 679-nucleotide long non-coding RNA. RefSeq lists it as uncharacterized. The transcript has 4 exons. NCBI's taxonomy places the organism in Eukaryota, Metazoa, Arthropoda, Insecta, Hymenoptera, Athaliidae. The record is from RefSeq and is a predicted model, not a curated record.
ACCAGGUCGUCGUCACUGUAUUCGAAUGGCAAGUGGAGUCGCUAAGCGGUAUAUACACACGGCGCCCCGACGGACGGCGUCGUUUCUAAACUAAAAUUCUACCGACGACUACGUCGAGCCACGACGACGAACCCGACGUCGACGGAGGGCGCAAGCGCUCGAGGGGGUUUUGGCAAUCGAUCGAGAAACUCCCCCUCGCCGUUGCCCCCGCUCUCCUCCCCACGUAUUCGGCCGCGGGGAAACUCAGAGAUUGUCUCGGGGUGAUGAGGAGUACUCGGACGCCGUGUACGGCCUCUUCUUCGACCACGAGGACGCCGGGCCUCGCGGUAAAAUACAAAAGGAGAACGAGAUUCACGGCUAUACCGAUGAUCAUACCGUAUUCCAAGCUCAGGAAUACGCAGCAGACGAUCGUCGCGGUCAGAGGGAUUAUAUCUACCUCUGAAAAAAAGGAAAGGCGGAGAAAAUAAAGUGAGAAAAUUGUUGCCGUCGAUUGAGCGAAUCGAGGAAAAAUUCAUUCGUUCGAAAGCGUUGGGAGCGAUCGAACCAGAUAAGGGAAUCGAAGUCUCGUCGACCGGAGUCGAUUAGUCGACAUCGGCAGAAUUCAAGCUACUCGGAGGAUCGGAUAAUUUUAAUAUACAUACGAAUCGAGGUCGAAGUCAGCAAUCCGCAGGCCAAAAGG